AAAGAUCUUCCACCUACCGGUUUACCCUUGAAAUGCCCACAACAUCUGGAGGUGGGCCAGGCAGAAGGCAGGAGUUGGGAAUUGCGAAUUGCGGGCAGUGAAUGAGGUGCCACAAGGAAAAGGCACAUCAGGGGGCAGGUGCUGCUGCAGAUGAGUGGUCAGCGAGCACCUGCUGAUGACCUUGAGGUGCUAUGUUGGCCUCCUGGGGCUGCCAUGCCAAGGGAGUACCAUCCUGUGGCUUCCAUUGCACCAAAGUGUGGCCUCACCCAUUUGUGGAGGCUGGAAGUCGCAGGUCAAAGUGUGAGCAAGGUGGGUUCCUGCUGAGGGACAGGAGGGAGAACCUGUCCCAGCUCCCGGUGGGUGGCUGGCCCCAGCAGGCAUUCCUCAGCCUGUGGACACACCCUGAUCCCUGCCUCGGCCUUUGCAUGACGUCUGCCCCUUGGAUCUUCUUGCCAUCUUUUCUUUCCAUACCAGCCUGGGCCCAGAUAUGCCCUCUUUAUAAAUCACUAGUUAUACCAAGUCAGGAACCACACUAAAGGACCUUAUUUUAACUUAGUGGCCUCUAUAGACCCUGGUUCCAAAGCAGGCCAGGUUCCAAGGCCCUGGGCAGAAGAAUUGCAGCUUGGCAUUGCUUGGGCUUGGGGAAUUCAGCUCACAACUCACAGCGUACUUCACACUUCACCUCCUCCCUCACCAGGUAAGCAUGAGACAUACAGCACACCUGUAAAGACCUGAGUGGAAGGAUCCUGGAUGGGGUUUCGAAAGUCUUUAGAGAAUUCCCUGCAAUCCACCUUACUCUCCCCUCGUCUCUAAAAGUGACUUCAGGCUACCCAGAAAGUUCUUAAAACAGCCCCAGGCAUUUUAGCUGAGUAUGCUCUGGGCUGGCCCUGCUUGGAGAUGACCCAGAAAAUUCCUUCCAGUGACCUGAUUUGCCAUCAAGAAGAACUGAAGUGACAAAGGCUCAAUAGCAUCGUCUGGUUUACAGCAAUGAGGCAGAGCUGUGACGUGAAGGACAGCC
Molecule: long non-coding RNA, 1018 nt
Organism: Ochotona princeps (American pika)
Lineage: Eukaryota; Metazoa; Chordata; Mammalia; Lagomorpha; Ochotonidae
Exons: 3
Source: RefSeq, a predicted model, not a curated record